CCUACGGGUGGCUGCAGUGGGGAAUAUUGCACAAUGGGCGAAAGCCUGAUGCAGCGACGCCGCGUGAGGGAUGACGGCCUUCGGGUUGUAAACCUCUUUCGCUCAUGGUCAAGCCGCAGCUUUGGGUUGUGGUGAGGGUAGUGGGUAAAGAAGCGCCGGCUAACUACGUGCCAGCAGCCGCGGUAAUACGUAGGGCGCGAGCGUUGUCCGGAAUUAUUGGGCGUAAAGGGCUUGUAGGCGGUUGGUCGCGCCUGCCGUGAAAUCCUCUGGCUUAACUGGGGGCGUGCGGUGGGUACGGGCUGACUUGAGUGCGGUAGGGGAGACUGGAACUCCUGGUGUAGCGGUGGAAUGCGCAGAUAUCAGGAAGAACACCGGUGGCGAAGGCGGGUCUCUGGGCCGU
RNAcentral lists this ribosomal RNA (400 nucleotides) under uncultured bacterium. RNAcentral describes it as "bacterial SSU rRNA". It matches the Rfam family "Bacterial small subunit ribosomal RNA", at positions 338 to 737 of the family's 1533-position model. The record is from RNAcentral.